UCCCUGGAGGACUCGUGGUUAAGCCACGGCGCUCUCACCGCUGCUUCCCGGGUUCAAUUCCCGGCCAGGAAC
This 72-nucleotide transfer RNA is filed under the name Pangasianodon gigas (Mekong giant catfish). RNAcentral describes it as "tRNA-Glu". It matches the Rfam family "tRNA". From Rfam's summary of the family: Transfer RNA (tRNA) molecules are approximately 80 nucleotides in length. Their secondary structure includes four short double-helical elements and three loops (D, anti-codon, and T loops). Lineage: Eukaryota; Metazoa; Chordata; Actinopteri; Siluriformes; Pangasiidae. The record is from RNAcentral.